AAUGAACGCUGGCGGCAGGCCUAACACAUGCAAGUCGAACGCACCGCAAGGUGAGUGGCAGACGGGUGAGUAACGCGUGGGAACCUUCCCUUUGGUUCAGGAUAGCCCCGGGAAACUGGGAUUAAUACUGGAUAAGAUCUACGGAUGAAAGAUUUAUCGCCGAAGGAUGGGCCCGCGUAAGAUUAGCUAGUUGGUGAGGUAAUGGCUCACCAAGGCUUUGAUCUUUAGCUGGUCUGAGAGGAUGAUCAGCCACACUGGAACUGAGACACGGUCCAGACUCCUACGAGUGGCAGCAGUGAGGAAUAUUGGACAAUGGGCGCAAGCCUGAUCCAGCCAUGCCGCGUGAGUGAUGAAGGCCUUAGGGUUGUAAAACUCUUUUAGUGGGGAAAAUAAUGAUGGUACCCACAGAAAAAGCUCCGGCUAACUUCGUGCCAGCCGCCGCCGUAA
RNAcentral lists this ribosomal RNA (447 nucleotides) under uncultured bacterium. RNAcentral describes it as "partial 16S ribosomal RNA". It matches the Rfam family "Bacterial small subunit ribosomal RNA", at positions 29 to 523 of the family's 1533-position model. The record is from RNAcentral.